AUGGUGGAGACAGGAGAGGGAGAGAAGAGAACGGAAGAGGAGAGAGAGAGAGAGAGAGAGAGAGAGAGAGUGAUAGAGAAGAAUAGAUGGACUUUUUUACAAAAUAAUCAUCUAAAAUUUUAUAAUUUGCGAAAUAAUCUUAUCAAAUAUGUAUUUGACAAAUUAAUUCUUGAAACAUAGUGAAUUAUUUACCGCAUUCUGAAAGUUUCUAAGAUCUCUUAAAGGCUGUGAAUCAUUUUCCGUUUUUGAAAAAGAGAAAAAAUGAGGUUGUUAAAAUUGUAUGUAGAUUAUACGAAAAAUUUUAAAAAAAGUGAGGUUGUUAGAAUUGUGUGUGAAAUAUUAGAAUUUUUGUUUGAUUGUUAGAACUUGUAUGGAUAGAUUAUUAAAAUUUUUUUGAUUGUUAGGAUUAUAUGGAUAUAUUAUAAGAGUUUUCAAAUGGUUAAGAUUAUAUGUGAUGUUCGAUUAUUACGAUUGUAUGGAUAUAAUAUUAGGAUCAAGGUUGUAUGGAUAGAUUAUUAAAAUUUUCAGGUUGUUAAGAUUAUAUGUGAUUUGUUGAAAUAUUUAUAUGGUUGUUAGGUUUAGAAAAAGAAGCAAUGAAAGGCGAUGAAUGAUUUACCGCUUUUCUGAAAUAUUAGGAAAGCAGUGAAUUAUAAAGAGGGUGAAAAUCAUUUACUGUCUUUAAAAGGUCACUUUUUUAAAUAUAAUUUUGAUAAAAUUAUUUUGUAAAUAAUAAAAUUUUAAAAGAUUAUUUUAUAACAAAAUCC
RNAcentral lists this long non-coding RNA (764 nucleotides) under Ananas comosus (pineapple). RNAcentral's name for it is "long non-coding RNA (ACOM_LNC012765)". The record is from RNAcentral. Lineage: Eukaryota; Viridiplantae; Streptophyta; Magnoliopsida; Poales; Bromeliaceae.